RNAcentral lists this long non-coding RNA (4431 nucleotides) under Oreochromis niloticus (Nile tilapia). RNAcentral's name for it is "lncRNA (ENSONIG00000033124.1)". Lineage: Eukaryota; Metazoa; Chordata; Actinopteri; Cichliformes; Cichlidae. The record is from RNAcentral.
AUGACAGAACAACUCGAUCAAGUGAAAAAAGCAGUUGAAAAAGCGAUCAAGGAUUUUGAACAAUGUCUUACAGAAGGGGUUAAAAAUUCCAAAACCUCUGAAGAAAACCUGAACACCUUUUUGCACCGUGAUGAAAACCCUCUCGUGUUCAUGACACUAGAGGCCGUGGUUAAGAAAAACGGCAUCCACAAAACAAAAAAAGGGGAAGAAAUAAAUCUCAACACAAUGUUGGCUUCCUGCUUGACUGACAGCAUUGAUGAAAAAUUCAGAAAGACCUUCCCAAAUGAUGUUAAAGGCAGAUAUUUCAAUGGAGUCAUCAGCAUAUUUUCACUUGACACAAAACCACUGAUUCAAGAGUACCAAGAUGUCAAACUGCAGCUGAUAUUUCUCCAGACAGAGGAGGAAAGAAUUAAGGCAAAACUCAACAAAAUAAUCCUAAAGGAGAAGAAAGUAAUCUACAAUAGUCUAACAGAGACAAUUGUGAAAAGCAUGCAAAAGGGCUAUGAUGAUGCAAAGGCAAAAAGGCAAAAGGAAGACAUGAGGAACACUCUUGAGACACAUGUAUCCUCAAAUAGGAACAUGUAUGAGGAUGCAAAAAAGACCAUGUUGGAGAAGAUGGAUACGUUGAAGACGACCAUCUGCAAUGAACUGAAGGAAACCAUGGAACACUCCAUUAAACUCUCAUUCAAGGUUGAUGUUUGCCCUCUCCCAGGUAAAGGGAAUACAGGCAAUGAAAAUGAAUAAUUUAUGUUGAACAAUGCUAAAGAAUGUUUUUACUUAUUUUAUUGUUUUUUGUAGAUGUUUCAAAGCAUCUUAAAACUGUGCAGCGAUAUCAUGAUGAAGUUAAAAAGAGAGAGAGAGAAAUGCCAGCACAGUAAUCGGGUAAAUAUUUAAAUGUUAUUGCAUGUCACGGGAUUAUUAUUGUUACCCAUUUUGUGCUAAAUUGCUAGAUUCCUGAGAAUUCUUAAAGGGAUCGGCGGAGGGUUAUAUGAGCUUUUAGCUGAGAUUCUGAGGUUUCUGUGGAUACCACACAUUUGCAUGAAAGACUUGAUGUCAGGGAGGGUUAAACUGCAGGUCACCCCCUUUGUCCCCGGUACCGGGGGCCUUAGGGCUCAAGAUUAACCCUCUGGGGUCCAGGGUAUAAUUGGCCAUUUUUAACUACUUUUAAAAACUGCUUACCUUGCCUUGUUUGGUAUCAUUCUUUUCAGCACAACCUCUUGUGUCUGAAUUUACAGUAACUGAUAAAUUUUUACAUACUGUAUUAACACAAUUGAUCUAAAAUCAGAGGAAAAGCAUAAAUUCAGAGUAGAAUUUUUUUAUUUUCUAUUGUAGCACCAACAAAUAUGUUUAACAAAUCAUUUUCACAAUUUGAAUUGCAAAUAUAAAUUGUAAAUUUUAAAAACUUAUAAACAAGUUUUUCAAACAACACAGUUAUAUGCAACUAUUUACCUAAAAUGCAGCUGAGGCCUCAGGCCGUUUUCAUAUAAGCACUUAAAACUAUUUACAGAACAAUCAGGUUUUCUGCAUUGAAUAAGAAGGCACACAAAUGAUUUGUGCCACUGCAAAAAAUAGUUUGUGUCACUAUAAGACAGAGGAGAACAGCACUGGGAUAAACCUGCAGGUGUAUCACUCCUGUUUUCCCACAGUGUUUACUCUUCAAUCUGCUUUCAGUGGCUUUUUUGCGGCAACUGUGACACUUAAUAGUAGAACUGACACGCAAAACAAAACAACAAACACGCUAAACGUCACAAAUCUCUCACAUCUCAAAACUCUCUGUCUCUGUCUCUCUUUAGCUUGCUCCUUCUCACCGCUGUCACUCCUAAAACUUCUCCCUCUUCCUAAACAACCAAAUGCCACAUGUUGCGAUAUCAUUUUUUGAUUGGUUGACAUGAUACUUUUUUUUUUUUGCUCACAAGCGGAGAGUGCUUGCUAGCAGUGUCCUUAGAAAACACAGUUUUUACAGUUUUUUCCCGCAGUAAAUAACACAGUAUUACUCAGAAAACAAACAUCAUGUGUAUUCUUAUCCUACCUCUGGUUUUAUGUGGCCUAUUAACACAGUUUAAAAACUGGUAUAUAGUUUGAAGUCUGCCCUUUAAACACAAGUUGAACGGUCGGUAAGUCGCUGCAUCUCGUUGCUGUGUCAUCUUAAAUUGAUCAUGUGAUUUGGACACGCCAGCGUGUCAGUUGACCCCAGAGGGCUAAGCGCCAGUACCCUAAAACUCCCAAUAAUCCACUUAUGAAAAAUUGAUUAUAUUCCUAUAUUGUAUGAGAAAUUAUUCACUAUUUGCCUGACAAUGCUAGAUCUUCUUCAAAUGAAGUUUACUAACAGCUGCUAACCAACUGCUAACAGCAGCAAAAACAGCAGUACUCCCAACAUAAAAGCACAUGCUCCAAAAUUUACCUGAAUAUUGUCCACAGUCUUUGAACAGAAUUGAGUUAUUGUCUCAUGUUGGACUGACAGCUGAGGUAAACAUGCUGAAUUUAUUAUUGCUGAGCACAGAUGAAGUAUUUGAAUAAUAUAAUCACUUGUAUUUGGCGAUUCCUUACCCUUUUUACGUCCAAGUUACCUCAAACAUGUCAAAACAAAGUGUUUACAAAAAUUAUUUUCACCAUAAACAGUAGUAGUAACACCAAAUAAUAAUAUUUUCUAUUCUAGGGUGAGGAGCUUUCAAGACAUUUUAAAGCAAAUUUUAAGUAGUGAUGGUUUUACUGUUUGCCCUGAGCAGCUGAGUGUUAAAGAUCUUUCUGUUUAUUAUUACUGGAUGUUUCAGAAACACAAUGACCCACUCAACGUCUCUGAGAGAACACUGACUAAAAGCAUGAGGUCUCUGCGAAGCACCAAAUUUUUGUCAAGUUGUUUUGCCUUCUGUCCUUAAAUGUUGUUUGAUUUUUAAUGAAUUUGAUACAAUGAGAUUUUUCAGUCCUCACUGGAGGAAGCUCCUGGGUUUUAAUCUAGUUUGAGGCCUUUCUGUGUGGAUUUUGCAUGUUCUCCCUGUGUCUGCGUGGGUGCUCUCUGUCUACUCCAGCUUCUUCCUACCUUAUCACAGUUCAUUUAAUCAUUUCGGGGGGGGGGUUCCAGAAGUUGUUUGUAUUUUAAUUUUAGUUAACCAAAAUAUUCACAUCUAGUUUUAGUUUUAGUUAACUGUAAUAUUGUUAGCAACCUGCCCAGGGUGUACUCUGCCACUUGCCUGACAGCUGGGAAAGGCUCCAGCAACCUGGACUUGGAUAAGUGGAAGUAAAAUGGAUGUAGAUGUUUAAAUAUGAAUUCCUCCCAGGGGUGUCACCAGACUCUAAACCAAAAGGCCAGCAGUGUAUUCAAAUCCUCUUUUUUUCCUUCUUGGUUUUGUUAAUUAUUUGUAGACCCGAGUUAAACAGAAAAUUAGAAAGAGAAAUACAGAGGUAGAAGAUCUACAAUGUUGUUGUUUUUAAUUUUAGGGGUCUAAACAUUGAUAUCCAGAACUUUUUCUUUAAAUUUUAAUGAUUCUAUUGAUCUGCGACGGACUGGGGACCUGUCCAGGGUGUACCAUCGCCUCUCGCCCUAUGACAGCUGGGAUAGGCUGCAGCACCCCCCGCAACCCUGAAAAGGAUAAGCGGAAGAAAAUGGAUGGAUGGAUGGAUUCUAUUGAUGUUUUCUUUUACAUAUUUUGAUGUCUUAUAGUAAAUUUUAAUAUUUUAAUUACACGUGUUUAACCUUCAAUCAUUUAUUUUAGGGAUAUAUUUGUCAAUUUUAUUCUUGAACCUUAUACAGUGGAACCCCGACUUACGAAAUUAAUUUGUUCCCGAGGGUCUUUCGUAAGUCGAAGAUUUUGGUAUGUCGAAGCACCCAUUGCGCCUUUUAAAUGAACAAUAGCUAUAGGCUAGUUGGUAACUGCAACAACAAUACGUCAUUCAAGUGGAACAGCGAGACGCAACUACGAAAGCCAAGGGGUUGUCACAUGAUUCGGAAGGCAUUGUGGGCUUUGUAGGCUCAGCCAAUCAGAGCCAGCGGAUUUCGUUAUACGGGCAUUUUGCCGUAACACGGGCAGAAAUAUUGCCGUUCAGUGCCUUCCUGACUUGAAUUUUUCGUUAAAUGGGGUAUUCAUAAGUCGGGGUUCCACUGUAUAGCACAUCACUUAUGUAUACCAUUUUACUUACAUUUCUAACAUAAAUGUAAUUUACUGCAAUAAAAUUAUUUCAAUAAAAUCAUUUCUUUGGUUGUCAUAUGAUUAAUAAAGCAGCAGCAAACAACAAACCUUGUUCUUGUCUAUUUCUGACCCUAAAACUAACUAGCCUGGCAAAAAGUAUUUUGCAGCAGCACAGUAGUUUGUAACAUACAACAAUACUAUCUAUGAACUGUGAAGAUUGAACCACAAACCAUUUAUCAACAGGAUGUCAAAUGAUUGUUGAUGUCAUUGAUCAAGCUUCCUCUGACGCGUUCUUGCCUGGGUGACA